Chenopodium quinoa (quinoa) is the source of this 2154-nucleotide long non-coding RNA. RefSeq lists it as uncharacterized. The record is from RefSeq and is a predicted model, not a curated record. The transcript has 2 exons. NCBI's taxonomy places the organism in Eukaryota, Viridiplantae, Streptophyta, Magnoliopsida, Caryophyllales, Amaranthaceae.
CGGAAAUUGACACGGACACGAUACGAAUACGGGAAAACAACAAUCCUGAAAUAGGGGACACGGGUAAGGCGUAUAACAAGGCAUAUAAUAUAUCAAAAAAACGAGAAUUUGACAACCUAUUCAAUAAAACAUUAAAUAAUUAGCCUCAAAACACACAAUUUUAAUUAAACAAGUAAAUAAACAAAGUGUACGAAUAUAGUCUCAUACAUAUCAAGAAACCAUCAAACCAAAUACAUGUCUUAAUAAUAGUGUUACAAAUCAUAAAUAAAAUAAACAUAAGUACUAAUAGUUUCAUUCUUCACCAUCACCAAGUACAUCAUCAAAAAUCAUAUUUUCCAUCUCGGGUUCAUCAAGUGAGAGCUCAGUCAUCUCUAGAAUACCAACCUCUCCUAGGUUGUCAUGCUCAUCUCCACCCACAUCCCACAACUUAGAUCUCCCCUUAGUGUAUUCUUCACUUCUCCUAGAAAGUAAUCGAAGGUUGUUAUGAAUGUAUACCAAGUCUUGAGCACGUUUAGGAGUAAGCUUAUUUCUAGUGCAAGAUAAGAAUGAAUAAACUUAUAGGUGCUCCAAUUCCUUUCACUACAAGAAGAGGAAGAAGGUUGACCUAAUAGCUUAUAAGCUAAACCUUGAAGCAUAGGCACUUGGGGACCAUAACUGCCCACCAAUUUUUAGCAUCCAUCAAAACCAUAUCAUGCAUGCAAUCAAUGUUGAGAAAGAUCCCCUCUGAUUUUUGUGAAAAUAUUGCAAAUUCCGUGUUGAUCUUGAAUCUUUCAUCGGGACUUUGGAAAAGCUUUUGAAAGCAUUGUAAUCUUUGUGUGAAAAUUUCAUUGUCGGCAUUUGGAGCAACUCGUCCCGGGACCUCAUUAAGCCAUUCUUCCGUGUAAAAUCUUUAACAACAAAAUAAGAUUAGCCAUAAGAAAUUAAAUAAAAAAACAAGGAAAAAUAAAUAAAGAUAAUAAAGAUGAAUUAAAUAAGUAAAACUUACCUUGGAUUCAAAGAAUGUGCUAAUGAAUGGAGUAAUGUACUACCCUUACUCCAACGACUACUAAGAAUCCCUUUAACUACAUUAAAGAAGGUAGAUUCUUCAUAAUCUAGUUUACCCUCUUUCUUGUAGAUGGCAUCUUUCACCUUUUGAACCAUAAUGUCCCAUCUUUCAUAAACCAAAUGUAAGGAAAUUUGUCAGUGUCACAAACCCUAAUCAUCUCAUAGAUUGGGCGUGUGAAAUCAAGAAUGUAAUCAACUUUUUCCCACCAUAUUUCAUCCAAAAAAAUUUUCCAUACAUGUGAGGCUUGCCGCGUCGAUAAUCCUUGUAUAAGGACCAAUUCUCACUAAUAACCACUACUACAUUUUUAAUCUAAUACAACGGUACAAAAUUAGCUAAUACAACGGCUAAUUUCAUACCGUUGUAUUAGACUAGGCUAAUACAACGGUUUAUACUAAAACAGGUCUAAUACAACGGUUUAUCCUAACCGUUGUAUUAGAAUAAGAACCCGUUGUAUUAGACCUAGUCUAAUACAACGGAUCAAAAAAAAAAAAGAAAAAAGAAAAGUCGGGAUAUUAAUUAGCCUAGCUUAUAACCCACGCGUCUCUCAACUUUCCUCAUUCUCUCUCCCUCAUUCUCGCCUCUCAUUCUCUCUCUUUCGAAUCCUCGUCUUCUCUCAUUCUCUCUCUCUCGAACACUCUCUCGCCUCUCAUUCUUUCCUAUUUGACUUGAGUUUAUAAGAGAUACAUCAAUACCAAAAUUACGAUGCGAAGACAUUGAUCAGUUGAACUUCUGGACUUGGACAAUCUGGACAGGAUUCCUAAUCCAACGGAUUGCCUAAUCCGUUGGAUUAGGUUCCUUUUACCGUUGUAUUAGACCUAAUCCAACCCUAGAAAAUGUGACGGUUGCUAGCCGUUGUAUUAGGUCUAUUACAACGGUUUUGAGCACCUAAUACAACGGAAAUAGGGGUUGGAUUAGCUCUCAAAUGUAGUAGUGAACCAUUGAUUGAAGUGAUGUUUUAAGGAGUUUCAACCAUUUAAGCAUGCACACAAUUGAAGCAAAACGAGUAUCGGCAAUGCAAAGUAGUUUUAAUGGAGAAAACUUAUUGAACAUUGAAAGCCUCAUCAAAUGAUUCAUUAUGUAAUUUUUAAUGAACAAGGCAUUUACAUGAA